This 253-nucleotide ribosomal RNA is filed under the name uncultured bacterium. RNAcentral's name for it is "partial 16S ribosomal RNA". It matches the Rfam family "Bacterial small subunit ribosomal RNA", at positions 524 to 776 of the family's 1533-position model. The record is from RNAcentral.
GACGGAGGUCCCGAGCGUUGUUCGGAAUUAUUGGGCUUAAAGCGCGUGUAGGCGGAGCGGUAAGUACCUUGUGAAAUCCCCGGACUCAAUCCGGGAACUGCUUGGUAUACUGCCGUUCUCGAGGCAGGUAGGGGUCACUGGAACCUUAGGUGGAGCGGUGAAAUGCGUAGAUAUCUAAGGGAACGCCCGUGGCGAAAGCGAGGCCCUGGACGUCUGCUGACGCUGAGACGCGAAAGCUAGGGGAGCGAACGGG